UGGGGAAUUUUGCGCAAUGGCCGCAGGGCUGACGCAGCAACGCCGCGUGGGUGAUGAAGGCCUUCGGGUCGUAAAGCCCUGUCAGGUGGGAAGAACGAUUGGGGGUCGAAUAGGCCUUUGAUGUGACGGUACCACCAGAGGAAGCACCGGCUAACUCCGUGCCAGCAGCCGCGGUAAUACGGAGGGUGCGAGCGUUAUUCGGAAUUACUGGGCGUAAAGCGCGUGUAGGCGGCCUGGCAAGUCUGAUGUGAAAGCCCCGGGCUUAACCUGGGAAGUGCAUUGGAAACUGUCGGGCUUGAGUACUGGAGAGGAUGGGGGAAUUCCCGGUGUAGAGGUGAAAUUCGUAGAGAUCGGGAGGAAUAUCAGUGGCGAAGGCGCCCAUCUGGACGGUAACUGACGCUGAGACGCGAAGGCGUGGGGAGCAAACA
RNAcentral lists this ribosomal RNA (428 nucleotides) under uncultured bacterium. RNAcentral describes it as "bacterial SSU rRNA". It matches the Rfam family "Bacterial small subunit ribosomal RNA", at positions 355 to 774 of the family's 1533-position model. The record is from RNAcentral.